This 759-nucleotide ribosomal RNA is filed under the name Triticum aestivum (bread wheat). RNAcentral describes it as "partial small subunit ribosomal RNA". The record is from RNAcentral. Lineage: Eukaryota; Viridiplantae; Streptophyta; Magnoliopsida; Poales; Poaceae.
AUGUUAGACAGACACCAUGAAAGCCUAAUACAGAGCCCUAUCACUCCCAGGGCAAAGGAGACAAAUGAUUUAUUAUUUGCUUCAUCUGUUCAGAAUUUGUACGAUGCAAACGAGAUGGAGGUGGGUAUCAUCGAUUUGGUGACAAGUGUGUCUGCGACUCGCAUGGUUGGAGUACGGGUGGAGCCUCCAGCAGAGCCAGAUGUCCGAGUUGUCAGUUCGACACCAGAAAGCGGUAUUGAGGCAAGGCAGAACACAGAAGAUUGCACUGUUGUAGCCUUAGGGCGUGACACUGGAGAUGCGCAAGCAGGCAACUGCGCCAUGGAAACUAUCGAGGCAGAAAUAGAUGAGCUGAUGAGGGCAACGCUAAGCAAUGCUGAUAUGGUGCCAGAUUGUCUCAAGUUCCAGGCUGAGAUCAACGGUGUGCUGUGCGUGAGCUCUACUCCAGAACAGCCAGUAAUUCGGGUUGUGCCUCCAGCAAGGCAACGACAGAAAAGAUGUGUGCACCGUGGGAGCAACAAGUGUCGCAAUAGGAAACGGAAAACACCUUCCGGGAGUGGGUUAUCUUCAUCAGAUAGCUCUGACAAUGAUGCGGGUGCGAUGCAAGACGACCAACAAGGAGGAGCCGCAGAGCAGAGCAUUCCCCCAGAUGGAUUACACGGUGAGGUACAUAUGCGUCCCAAUGAUACAGCCAGGGGCGUAGGCUAUGGAGUUGGGGUCAUCACUCGUCAAGAAACAGGGACUAUGUGUUCCCUGGAAUAA